This 492-nucleotide ribosomal RNA is filed under the name uncultured bacterium. Its description in RNAcentral is "partial 16S ribosomal RNA". It matches the Rfam family "Bacterial small subunit ribosomal RNA", at positions 30 to 507 of the family's 1533-position model. The record is from RNAcentral.
AUUGAACGCUGGCGGCAUGCUUUACACAUGCAAGUCGAACGGUAACAGGCCUUCGGGUGCUGACGAGUGGCGAACGGGUGAGUAAUGCAUCGGAACAUGCCCAGAGGUGGGGGAUAACGCAGCGAAAGCUGUGCUAAUACCGCAUGUGAUCUGAGGAUGAAAGCGGGGGACCAGGCAGCAAUGUUUGGCCUCGCGCCUUUGGAGCGGCCGAUGUCAGAUUAGGUAGUUGGUGGGGUAAAGGCCUACCAAGCCGACGAUCUGUAGCUGGUCUGAGAGGACGACCAGCCACACUGGGACUGAGACACGGCCCAGACUCCUACGGGAGGCAGCAGUGGGGAAUUUUGGACAAUGGGCGCAAGCCUGAUCCAGCAAUGCCGCGUGCGGGAAGAAGGCCUUCGGGUUGUAAACCGCUUUUGUACGGAACGAAAAGGCUCUGGCUAAUACCUGGGGCUGAUGACGGUACCGUAAGAAUAAGCACCGGCUAACUACGUG